This 425-nucleotide ribosomal RNA is filed under the name uncultured prokaryote. RNAcentral's name for it is "bacterial SSU rRNA". It matches the Rfam family "Bacterial small subunit ribosomal RNA", at positions 355 to 774 of the family's 1533-position model. The record is from RNAcentral.
UAACGAAUAUUCCGCAAUGGGCGCAAGCCUGACGGAGCGACGCCGCGUGGAGGACGAAUUCCUUCGGGAUGUAAACUCCCUUUGGGGUGAAGAAAACAAUGAGCGCUAAUAUCGCUCUGCGUUGAUCGAUCCCAGAAUAAGCCUGGGCUAACUCCGUGCCAGCAGCCGCGGUAAGACGGAGCAGGCAAGCGUUGUUCGGAAUCACUGGGCUUAAAGCGCGUGUAGGCGGCCUCGCAAGUACUUUGUGAAAGCCCUCGUCUCAAACGAGGAACUGCUUGGUAUACUGCGGGGCUUGAGGCGGGUAGGGGUGCUUGGAACUCUAGGUGGAGCGGUGAAAUGCGUAGAGAUCUAGGGGAACGCCUGUGGCGAAAGCGGAGCACUGGGCCUUGCCUGACGCUGAGACGCGAAAGCGUGGGUAGCAAACG